CAGUGGAGUACCAUUUGUCCUUAAAAAGGGAGGAAACCCUUGCCCCCCUGCACCAUGGGUGGCCUAGAGGGCAUCUGUUGACAAGGGCACCUGCUGUGAGCCCACUCCUCUGAGGUCCCUAGGAGCCAUAUCCACGGGGACAGGCAGGGCUGGGAACAGGGAGGGUUUAGUGUCCAGUGGGCCCAGAGCGGCAGUCUGGGUGACGAGGCGGUGUGGAGAGGUGGCAGGGGAAGGGGUGACCACUGAGUGUGCCUGUUGGGCCUGGGCACUGGCCCUGUAACACCUGGCACCCUGCUCAGCCCUGGCCCUCUCCACACAGGCUCUUGUCACCUCGUCUCUCUAGGGAAGGUCUCCGCUUAAUCCCUUUAAACAGUUCUUGUGUCCCAUUUUUACUUGCUGUUGUAUGGCUGUUCUGCAUCUGCCUGACCGUUCAUCCCUCUGUUGGUCUUUUAGCCUUUUUCAUUUGAUAUGUCCCCGUCCUUCUUCCAACCAGUAGUUCCCCUCCACAUCGUCGCCUUCCUGAGUUGGGUCCUCUGUGUCCACCACGAGGAUCUUUCACACAGUAUUUCUGGGAUUCUUUCUGGUUCUGGGUUCAUGCUGCUAAUGGUGUCCCUUCCUUGGUGAGUCUCAGCUGAGACGUGUCCCUGGACUCGGCCUGAUACUGUGUUCGUAGUGUUCGUUUCUGACGGUUUAGUUUCUUUUUAACCCACGUGUUUUCUUGGUGAUCUUUAAAAGCCACCAGGUGGGUGUCAUGGCUACUGUGACUUGUGUGACUGCCUGUCAGAGUGAGUCUGGCCUGCUUGAUUUCUGCUCCUCAAGUUUGUUGAAUCAGAGUUGCUCACAGGGUUUCCUAGGAAGUUCUGUGUUUUUGUAGCGUGAUCUAGAAGCCUUGCUCGGGGCCUUCACAUCACUGUUUCU
Molecule: long non-coding RNA, 918 nt
Filed under: Marmota monax (woodchuck)
Lineage: Eukaryota; Metazoa; Chordata; Mammalia; Rodentia; Sciuridae
Source: RNAcentral